UGACAGCGGAGGGAUCAUUACCGAGUUAUUCAACUCAUCAACCCUGUGAACAUACCUAAACGUUGCUUCAGGCGGGAAUAGACGGCCCCGUGAAACGGGCCGCCCCCGCCAGAGGACCCUUAACUCUGUUUCUAUAAGUUUCUUCUGAGUAAAACAAGCAAAUAAAUUAAAACUUUCAACAACGGAUCUCUUGGCUCUGGCAUCGAUGAAGAACGCAGCGAAAUGCGAUAAGUACCCUGAAUUGCAGAAUUCAGUGAAUCAUCGAAUCUUUGAACGCACAUUGCGCCCGCCGUAUUCUGGCGGGCAUGCCUGUUCGAGCGUCAUUACAACCCUCAGGCCCCCGGCUGGCGUUGGGGAUCGGCGGAGCCCCCCGUGGGCACACGCCGUCCCCCAAAUACAGUGGCGGUCCCGCCGCAGCUUCCAUCGCGUAGUAGCUAACACCUCGCGACUGGAGAGCGGCGCGGCCACGCCGUAAAACACCCAACUCUUCUGAAGUUGACCUCGAAUCAGGUAGGAAUACCCGCUGAACUUAAGCAU
This 537-nucleotide ribosomal RNA is filed under the name Fusarium solani. RNAcentral describes it as "eukaryotic LSU rRNA". The stretch from base 171 to 323 matches the Rfam family "5.8S ribosomal RNA". Lineage: Eukaryota; Fungi; Ascomycota; Sordariomycetes; Hypocreales; Nectriaceae. The record is from RNAcentral.